UAGGGAAUCUUCCACAAUGGACGCAAGUCUGAUGGAGCAACGCCGCGUAAGUGAAGAAGGUUUUCGGAUCGUAAAGCUCUGUUGUUGGUGAAGAAGGAUAGAGGCAGUAACUGGUCUUUAUUUGACGGUAAUCAACCAGAAAGUCACGGCUAACUACGUGCCAGCAGCCGCGGUAAUACGUAGGUGGCAAGCGUUGUCCGGAUUUAUUGGGCGUAAAGCGAGCGCAGGCGGAAUGAUAAGUCUGAUGUGAAAGCCCACGGCUCAACCGUGGAACUGCAUCGGAAACUGUCAUUCUUGAGUGCAGAAGAGGAGAGUGGAAUUCCAUGUGUAGCGGUGGAAUGCGUAGAUAUAUGGAAGAACACCAGUGGCGAAGGCGGCUCUCUGGUCUGCAACUGACGCUGAGGCUCGAAAGCAUGGGUAGCGAACAGG
RNAcentral lists this ribosomal RNA (429 nucleotides) under bacterium. RNAcentral describes it as "partial 16S ribosomal RNA". It matches the Rfam family "Bacterial small subunit ribosomal RNA", at positions 355 to 776 of the family's 1533-position model. The record is from RNAcentral.